AUAAAAUAGCUAAAAUAUACCCAAAACACCAAAAAUACUUGAAAUAUCUAUUGAUUAUUUAUCCAAAUAUUCAAACCAAAUCAAAUUAUAUGUUAAGUUUAGGUAUUUUGAUAUAUGUUAUUCAAAUUUAUAUGUGAUAUAUUAUUUUGUUUGUAUAUUUUGAGAAAUUUAAAUUAUAAAAUGAAUUUUAAAAUUUUAAAAAUAAUUUUAAUGGGUUAUCUUAAUCCGAACCAAACCCCCAAAGAUCCAAACCGAACCCGAACCAAAACUUAGAAAUACCCGAAUGGAGCUGAAAUCUUUGACCCCGAAAAUCUGAAACCCGAAUAGACCCGAACCAAACCUGAAUGGGUACCCGAAAGCCCACCACUAAUCUAUUCAUAUAUUUAAGCAUUCAUAACAAAUAUCAUAUCAAUCAACUACCACAAAAUCUUUUUGUGUGCUUAAUCUUGCCGUUCACGUAAAAUAUCUUAAUUUUCUCAACUUAUAUUCGUUUAUUACUUUAAGCAAAGAAUCAAACUUGGAAUAAAAUCGUAUAGGAUAUUCGCUAUAUAAUACUAAAAAUUCACAACUGACAAAAUCUUAGAUAUUAAUAUUGACUUACUCUAACCUUUCCUAACUAGCUAUAUAUACCUCUUUCCUAAUAAUCUAAACACCAUAUCAUUCAACGCAAAUCCUCCGAAAAUAUCUACUAUGACUACUUUUCAUGCUCUCACAAAACUCAGGCCUUAUAAAAAUAAUCAGCGAGUUUAAGUUAAGUGCUUACAAGAUGAACACCGCUUCUAGAGAUACCUUUGAGAUGGUAUUAACAGACUAAUGGGGAAACAAAAUCCAAGCCUGUUGCAAAAGAACACACAUGUACCAUGUUCAGCAUGCUAUACCAGUUGAAAAAUGGGGAGUAAUUAAAAAUGUUCAAAUCAAUGCAGCUGGUAGCAGGGCAGACGUGUUUCUGUUUAUUUCCCAAAAAAAAAAAAAUUACAUAGAUUUUGAUUUGUGAUUCAGGUCCACUAUUUAUUCGGUUACAAAUGAUAAAUAUUUUAAAAACAUAACAAAAUGGCGCAAAUCAAUUAAUCUAAUUAGGCUUUGUAAAUAUUUAAUAGAGAUAUACAUAUUUUUAUAUGUUUUUGGGUUACUUUUCCAAUUGUUUGUAUAUUUGCUAGCGAUUUUAUUGUUUGUAAAGCUAUAUAAGAAAAAAUUUAAAACAAGCUAUAAAUCACAAAUUUUAGAUUUUCUUAUUUAAUAAAACUAUUAAAUCUCAAAUAAAUGUUCUAAUAUUAUACACUUUAUGUUUAGUUUACCAAGUAAAAAAAAAAUUACAAUAUAAGAACAAUACAACCUCAAAGCUUAAAAAUGUACACUAAACAAUAUAAACAAGAUACACCAAUGUCACAACUAAUAACAUAUGAAAUAAUAACAU
Long non-coding RNA from Brassica rapa (field mustard), 1414 nucleotides. RefSeq lists it as uncharacterized. Lineage: Eukaryota; Viridiplantae; Streptophyta; Magnoliopsida; Brassicales; Brassicaceae. The record is from RefSeq and is a predicted model, not a curated record.